This is a non-coding RNA of Cucurbita pepo subsp. pepo (vegetable marrow), 117 nucleotides long. The record is from RefSeq and is a predicted model, not a curated record. NCBI's taxonomy places the organism in Eukaryota, Viridiplantae, Streptophyta, Magnoliopsida, Cucurbitales, Cucurbitaceae.
UUUCUCUUUUCAUCNCAGAGCGAACUAUUCUUUCGCCUUUUACUAAAGAAUACCGUGUACUCGUCCCAUUCACCGGCAUACGCCUAUUUUUGGAGGAAUUUCUCAUCACUGAGAAGU